AGAACGAACGCUGGCGGCAGGCUUAACACAUGCAAGUCGAACGCGUGUAGCAAUACACGAGUGGCGCACGGGUGAGUAACGCGUGGAUAUCUGCCUUUUGGUUCGGAAUAACCCCGGGAAACUGGGGCUAAAUACCGGAUGGUUCCUACGGGAUAAAGAUUUAUCGCCAAAAAGAUGAGUCCGCGUACGAUUAGCUAGUUGGUGAGGUAAUGGCUCACCAAGGCGACGAUCGUUAGCUGGUCUGAGAGGACGAUCAGCCACACUGGGACUGAGACACGGCCCAGACUCCUACGGGAGGCAGCAGUGGGGAAUAUUGGACAAUGGGGGCAACCCUGAUCCAGCCAUGCCGCGUGAGUGAUGAAGGCCUUCGGGUUGUAAAGCUUCGUUUUGGCGGGGACGAUGAUGACGGUACCCGCAGAAUAACGCCCGGACUAACUUCGCGCCAGCAGCCGC
RNAcentral lists this ribosomal RNA (453 nucleotides) under uncultured bacterium. RNAcentral's name for it is "SSU rRNA". It matches the Rfam family "Bacterial small subunit ribosomal RNA", at positions 26 to 518 of the family's 1533-position model. The record is from RNAcentral.